CGCGGGGGUAGGGCGAGGGACGGGACGAUCGAAACCGCACGAAAAGUACACUCCUCCCACUUUUCCGUACACGGUUCGGGCGAGUCCAUCGUAGCCGUUUCGCGGGGUACGGAACCGUGUGCGGACACCGGUUUUUUGGACGUGACUCAACAUCUACUAGGCCACCGCAUUGCCAGUUCUCUCUCUCUCGGUCCCGCGCGCGACUCCGGCCGCCGGCUCGGCCCCUCUCGCUUCAACGGUCGGUCUUUCCACUCGUCUCGUCGGUAGGUACGCACGCAUAAGAGCCGCCACCGGUAUGAU
Molecule: non-coding RNA, 300 nt
Organism: Cinara cedri
Lineage: Eukaryota; Metazoa; Arthropoda; Insecta; Hemiptera; Aphididae
Source: the annotation of a GenBank genome assembly